UCUAGAACCUGAGAUAUGGAUAGAAUACGGAAUAGUGUCUGGGCUGCAGGACAGAUUCAGACUUCUCUUUUGAUGUUAAGAUUUGGACUCCAAAACGGCCAAAUUGAGUCUUGGACUCUUAAUGAAUGUUUUCAGCCUAUAUCUUAGCUUUCUAUC
Molecule: non-coding RNA, 156 nt
Organism: Populus trichocarpa (black cottonwood)
Lineage: Eukaryota; Viridiplantae; Streptophyta; Magnoliopsida; Malpighiales; Salicaceae
Source: Rfam